CCGGCGGCGGCCUAACACAUGCAGUCGAGCGGAUGAGAAGAGCUUGCUCUUCGAUUCAGCGGCGGACGGGUGAGCAAUGCCUAGGAAUCUGCCUGGUAGUGGGGGACAACGUUUCGAAAGGAACGCUAAUACCGCAUACGUCCUACGGGAGAAAGCAGGGGACCUUCGGGCCUUGCGCUAUCAGAUGAGCCUAGGUCAGAUUAGCUAGUUGGUGGGGUAAUGGCUCACCAAGGCGACGAUCCGUAACUGGUCUGAGAGGAUGAUCAGUCACACUGGAACUGAGACACGGUCCAGACUCCUACGGGAGGCAGCAGUGGGGAAUAUUGGACAAUGGGCGAAAGCCUGAUCCAGCCAUGCCGCGUGUGUGAAGAAGGUCUUCGGAUUGUAAAGCACUUUAAGUUGGGAGGAAGGGCAGUAAGCGAAUACCUUGCUGUUUUGACGUUACCGACAGAAUAAGCACCGGCUAACUCUGUGCCAGCAGCCGCGGUAAU
RNAcentral lists this ribosomal RNA (491 nucleotides) under uncultured bacterium. RNAcentral describes it as "bacterial SSU rRNA". It matches the Rfam family "Bacterial small subunit ribosomal RNA", at positions 36 to 524 of the family's 1533-position model. The record is from RNAcentral.